This 253-nucleotide ribosomal RNA is filed under the name uncultured bacterium. Its description in RNAcentral is "partial 16S ribosomal RNA". It matches the Rfam family "Bacterial small subunit ribosomal RNA", at positions 524 to 776 of the family's 1533-position model. The record is from RNAcentral.
GACGAACCGUGCGAACGUUGUUCGGAAUCACUGGGCUUAAAGGGCGCGUAGGCGGGCACGCAAGUCAGGGGUGAAAUCCUCCGGCUCAACCGGAGAACAGCUUUUGAUACUGCGUGCCUCGAGGGGGGUAGGGGCAUGUGGAACUUCCGGUGGAGCGGUGAAAUGCGUAGAGAUUGGAAAGAACACCGAUGGCGAAGGCACUUUACUGGGCUAUUACUAACACUCAGAGACGAAAGCUAGGGUAGCAAAUGGG